RNAcentral lists this ribosomal RNA (259 nucleotides) under uncultured prokaryote. RNAcentral describes it as "partial 16S ribosomal RNA". It matches the Rfam family "Bacterial small subunit ribosomal RNA", at positions 917 to 1178 of the family's 1533-position model. The record is from RNAcentral.
GGGCCCGCACAAGCGGUGGAGCAUGUGGUUUAAUUCGAAGCUACGCGAAGAACCUUACCAGGUCUUGACAUACUAUGCAAAUCUAAGAGAUUAGACGUUCCCUUCGGGGACAUGGAUACAGGUGGUGCAUGGUUGUCGUCAGCUCGUGUCGUGAGAUGUUGGGUUAAGUCCCGCAACGAGCGCAACCCUUAUUAUCAGUUGCCAGCAUUAAGUUGGGCACUCUGGUGAGACUGCCGGUGACAACCGGAGGAAGGUGGGG